GUAAGGUCAGCUAAAGAAGCUAGUGGGUUCAUACCCCAAAAAUGAGGUUUUCCCUUACUA
RNAcentral lists this transfer RNA (60 nucleotides) under Odontobdella blanchardi. Its description in RNAcentral is "tRNA-Met". Lineage: Eukaryota; Metazoa; Annelida; Clitellata; Hirudinida; Salifidae. The record is from RNAcentral.